AGCGCCCUGCUGUGCGCGUGAGAUUAGACGAAAAAAUCUGAACCAACAAAUUUAUAACGGGAGCCUAACUCCGGGUACAGCGCGCGUGUCCCUGCUUUAUGGAAGAUUGGGAAAGCGCAAAGUAUUCGGGAGGGCACCCACCUGUAAUAAACAGGUUCACAGAUUUUAACGUUUCCACGGCAACGGUGGGGACAU
This 195-nucleotide non-coding RNA is filed under the name Candidatus Omnitrophota bacterium. Its description in RNAcentral is "6S RNA". It matches the Rfam family "6S / SsrS RNA". Rfam says of the family: E. coli 6S RNA was the first non coding RNA to be sequenced, but its function was unknown until recently. It consists of 184 nucleotides that fold into an extended hairpin structure with a large single-stranded internal bulge. The 6S RNA specifically associates with RNA polymerase holoenzyme containing the sigma70 specificity factor. Lineage: Bacteria; Pseudomonadati; Candidatus Omnitrophota. The record is from RNAcentral.